Molecule: ribosomal RNA, 212 nt
Filed under: uncultured bacterium
Lineage: Bacteria
Description: partial 16S ribosomal RNA
Rfam family: Bacterial small subunit ribosomal RNA
Source: RNAcentral
AGUUCGGAUUGUAGUCUGCAACUCGACUACAUGAAGCUGGAAUCGCUAGUAAUCGCGAAUCAGCAUGUCGCGGUGAAUACGUUCCCGGGUCUUGUACACACCGCCCGUCACACCAUGGGAGUCGAUAACGCCCGAAGUCAGUGACCCAACCUGUAAGGAGGGAGCUGCCGAAGGCGGGAUUGAUAACUGGGGUGAAGUCGUAACAAGGUAGC